AAUGAACGCUGGCGGCGUGCUUAACACAUGCAAGUCGAACGAGAACGGGUUCUUCGGGACCUUAGUAGAGUGGCGCACGGGUGAGUAACACAUGGACAAUCUACCCCCGAGUCCGGGAUAACAUUUCGAAAGGGAUGCUAAUACCGGAUAAUAUCUGUUUUACCUUGGUUUAGCAGAUCAAAGGUGGCCUAUCCUUGGAAGCCAUUGUUUGGGGAUGAGUCCGCGUACCAUUAGCUUGUUGGUGGGGUAACGGCCUACCAAGGCGAUGAUGGUUAGCUGGUCUGAGAGGAUGAUCAGCCACACUGGAACUGACACACGGUCCAGACUCCUACGGGAGGCAGCAGUGAGGAAUUUUGCGCAAUGGGCGAAAGCCUGACGCAGCAACGCCGCGUGAGUGAUGAAGGCCCUUGGGUCGUAAAGCUCUGUCAAUGGGGAAGAAACAGUAGAGGGUUAAUAUCCUUUUGCCUUGACGGUACCCAUGAAGGAAGCACCGGCUAACUCCGUG
This 505-nucleotide ribosomal RNA is filed under the name uncultured bacterium. Its description in RNAcentral is "bacterial SSU rRNA". It matches the Rfam family "Bacterial small subunit ribosomal RNA", at positions 29 to 507 of the family's 1533-position model. The record is from RNAcentral.